AUUGAACGCUAGCGGGAUGCUUUACACAUGCAAGUCGAACGAGUGGCGGACGGGUGAGUAAUAUAUCGGAACGUGCCCAGUCGCGCGGGAUAACUACUCGAAAGAGUGGCUAAUACCGCAUACUAUUGGACCGGCCGAUAUUGGAUUAGCUAGUUGGUGGGGUAAAGGCGCACCAAGGCAACGAUCCGUAGCUGGUUUGAGAGGAUGACCAGCCACACUGGGACUGAGACACGGCCCAGACUCCUACGAGAGGCAGCAGUGGGGAAUUUUAGACAAUGGGUGAAACCCUGAUCCAGACAUCCCGCGUGUAUGAGAAGGCUUUCGGAUAGUAAAGCACUUUUGGGAGAGAAGCGGUAUCUGCCGAAUGAGCACCGGCUAACUACGUGCCAGCAGCCGCGGUAAUAC
This 405-nucleotide ribosomal RNA is filed under the name uncultured bacterium. RNAcentral describes it as "partial 16S ribosomal RNA". It matches the Rfam family "Bacterial small subunit ribosomal RNA", at positions 30 to 526 of the family's 1533-position model. The record is from RNAcentral.